CCAAAUAUAACCCUAGGAGUUAAAGGCCGAAAAUGUGUCUGAUCCUAAUACGGACCAUCCUCUUAGAUAAUCACCUGGAUCACAUUUCAAUCAUAAAAACUUUAAAAUAAAAAAUCUUAGAUGUUUUCAUCUAACUUUCUUAAGUGUUAAGGAACAACAUUGAUAUCGUAUGAAGCAAAUAUUUUUUCUUGUAAUAAUUGUAUAUAUGUCAAGUGAUGACAAUUAGUUCUUUAAAAGACACAAAUUUGUAUCUUAUGCUUGAAUAAUAAAGAGUCCUUCUUGGAAAGAAGUGACUAGACGAAGUUAUCAAGUAUAAAUUCUCAUGUUCCUAAAAUAUUUGUGUGGCUAAACUUAUUCUGAUUUUUUCUUCCUCAUCAUCAUUCAAAAAAUGUGUGAGAUCAUUUAUGAAAACAUGCAUGGCCAUCAUAUGAAGUACUGAAAUACUAAUUAAAAUUUAAGAGAGACAAUACUCAUAAGCCCCACUAUAAGAGACUAAAUACAUAGUUAUCCUCCAAAAGCCUCAUAUAUAUAUAUUUCUUGCCUAAGAAAUUUAGGCCAUACCUAGAAGGAGUCCUGUCAGGUACAAGACCAUCAAUUUUUACGUAUUUAGGGGUUAGAACGUAAAAGCCACUUAGGGUUAUAUUGAGACCUAUUUAUAUAGGAAAAGUUUGGCCUUUUUUCAUCUAACUUUCUAGAUGGUGCUGAGUACGAUUGACGUCCUGAAUUCCACCCGAACAAGACAAUAGUAUACUUCUCAGUUUCUAAAUUAAAUUCAUUUAUAUAGUAUACUUCUCAGCUUCAAGGCAGAGGAUAUUUAUAUCUUCAUCCUUCUCAUGUUUUCUCUAAAGUAUGUUUUUCUAUUGUGUAAUGAUGUAUGUUGUCAUGUGCAACUAAACCUCUUUGGUUAGGGUUCUAAGAUUAACCCGGCCUUCUUAUUUGUUGGACUCUAUUAACAACAUUUCUUAUUCAGUUUAUGAUCUAAAGUCCAAUUUAGUUUGUAUAUGUCUGUUUCUAGAUGUCACUUUGAAAAGCAUUUGCAUUUGUGGGCUUUCAUGUAAUUUUGCUCAAAAUAGUGCAUUCUCUAUUCUCAAUAGAGCAGAAACAUUUUUUGUGUGGGACAACAGUACCUUUCCUCCCUUUUUUUUAAGUUGGUUCCAAAGUAGGGAGAGAUUGCUAAUCCUUCUAUUUUCUGUCCAUCAUCAAUCUUUCCUUAUGCUGUCACCCAAAAUAAAGAGGCCCUUAGAGAGAGAGAUAGAUAGAUAGGUAGGUAGGUAGGUAGUAGAUAGAUAGAUAGAUAGGUAGAUAGGUAGAUAGAGAGAUAGAUAGAUAGAGAUGUCAUUGUGAUAUCAAAUUGAUCUAGAUCGCAAGAACAAUUUAUGUAUUCAAUUGUAAAGCUUUAGUAAUCUUCUUUAGGGUAUAAAGGUGGAUCGUGUGGUAGCUAAAGUUUGAAGAGACUGUCCAAAACUUGUGUGGCAAAGUGGACCAUAAAAAGAAGAGAAAAUAGUGAAGAAUCUAAGAGGAUAUCUCAGACACCAUAUUAAAAAAUAUCACAACAAGUGGGGACUGGACUAACCCUGUUAUGGUGAACGAAGAUAACUUCUUUGCAUCGUCUUCUUUAUGCAUUACCUCCUUUAUUUGAUAGUUCAGAAGCAAGUUCAUUCAUUAAUUCUCUUCUUGUAUGGAAUUCAUUUUGAUACAUACUUCAUAUCAUCAUCAUAUAUGAACAUCUUAGGUUUGAGAAACACACAAAAUUCUCAAAGUGUUACAAUUCAAACCACAUUCCUUGUGACUAUUAUUUUUACUCCAAAUGCCAUCAAAGCACUUCAUCUUAGGUUUAAUCAUGUUUGGUACAUGAGCCUUGUAUCUUAGCUCUCAUUUUGUUAAUGUUCUAUAAUUAGUUGUUUUUUUUUUUAGGAUAGUUAUCUUUGUUUUAUUGGUGACUGACUUUUGUCUUAUAAAUUCUUUUGGGAUCUCCUUAUGGUUCAAUAUAAACUCAAGUCUUGCAGCAUAUAUAUAGAAAAUUAUCACUAGAGUGUGUACUCUCAACCUUUUUAUUUAAACAUAUUAUUAUGCACAUCAUUGCAUGCUCAUAUAUAUAAGGCACCAAAUGAUAUACACAUACUUUUUUUUGUUUCAAGAAUACACAUAUACUUUUUGAUAGUUGGUUUAACUAGAUUAUUUUGUUAAGGAAAUUUUAUCUUCCUCAUCACUUUUGAAAACAUUAUCUUCCAUGUUGCUCAUGAAAACAUUAUCUUCCUUGUCAUUUUUAGAAACUGCAUCUUCUCCAUCAAUUUUGGAAACUUGAUCUCCCUCAUCAUUUUUGGAAACUUUAUCUUCUUCAUUACUCUUGGAAACUCCAUCUUCUUCACCACUUUUGGAAGCUUUAUAUUCCCUAUCACUUAAGGAAACGUUAUCUUCUUCGUCAAUUUCCGAAAAUUUAUUUCCCUCAUCACAUAA
RNAcentral lists this long non-coding RNA (2457 nucleotides) under Medicago truncatula (barrel medic). RNAcentral's name for it is "long non-coding RNA (MTRU_LNC000645)". Lineage: Eukaryota; Viridiplantae; Streptophyta; Magnoliopsida; Fabales; Fabaceae. The record is from RNAcentral.